GGAAGAGGGUCGGGAAUCGGACAUAUUUUUGGACACCUUCUCAAAAUGGUGUCGCUCUAGUUUAUCUCGAAUUAUUGUCUCUGUGUGUGUGUGUGUGUGUGUGUGUGACAGAUUUGGGACGCCGCCUUGUCACAGCUACUGCGCAGGUUGUCGUGAGCGCGCGAUUGCUGUCUCGAGCACAGCGCACCAGACGCCCGCGCGCGCACACGAGAACCUGCGCGCUCCCGUGAGUGAGGAGAAAGCGCUUGGGCUCAGCGUCCAACUCACCGCUUCUUCAAAACCUGUUGCCUUUUCACUUAUUUAUUUAUUUAUUUAUUUAUUUUUGUUAUUUUCUGGAGCGUGUACACCGGAUGCACCGGAUACACGAGGUACUGAGUUAUAUAGAUAUUUUUGCUCCUUUACAGAAUCCGGAUUUUAAGCGUCGAAUUCAGAUGUUCUGGGCGAGUUGGAGCAGGAUUCUGGGCGAUCCGGACGGGCUUUUCUUUCUUUCUUCCUUUUUUGUGAAUGAAACGCAUCCGCCCUUCUGUGCACCUGUGUGACAGUAGAUCUCUCAGAAUAAAAAGCAUCGAGGAGAAGAAGAAGAAGGAGAAGAAGAAAAAGGAGAGAAAUGGAUGGAAAGAGGAAUAAAUGAGAAGAGGAGGGAUCGCAGCGGAUAUCCUGCCGCCUGUUGGCUUUGAUGUUUCGGCGAAAACUAAUCCCGAGAACGGAAACGACACCAGCCGAAGGAGUUCUAGCGGAAUGAGAAAAAGGAAACACACCAGGAGUCGUGUUAUUUUCCGUUUUAAUACCACACACACACACACACACACACACACACACACACAUACAUACACAGGUUUAUGAAGAGCGAGUAUAGAAGCUGAAGCUGACAUCACCUCUGGUCUUCAGAUCCAUGCAGAAUGUUCCUCUAUGAUCAUGGGCUAAAUGUACUGAAGUCUGAGUUUUGAUGGAAAUUUUUCUCAAAUUCUUAAAAGUAUUCGGACGUGACUUCUCCAGCCGUCAUGUGAACUUCUCCUCUCCGUCUCUGCACACAGAACAUCACCGCUGAAGGACACAAACAGAGUUGUAAAUGGAUUCGUUGUUCAAUCCAGUUCCUAGAGUCCGGAUUAAUCCCGAUCCUGAACUUCAUUUCAUGAUUGAUGGAGCUUGGUCCCUGAGAAACAUGACCAGCUUUUGACUUCCAUCUUCUCAGUGGGUUUUGUUCCUGCUAACCCUUUCCACGGAGAGCAGGUCUACAUGGGUUCAGCGCCCGCAUGCUUCCCGCUAAAGAUGGUGACGUUCGGCUCCAGCCCUCCCAAAACUCCAUGAUGGCCAACCCGAGGAAGAUGGACCUGAUCAUCCCACCCUUUUACGACGUGCCGUGCGACAGUAAUGGCCAGCGCAUGUGGUGGGCCUUCCUGGCCUCGUCCAUGGUCACGUUCUUCGGCGGCCUCUUUAUCAUCCUGCUGUGGAGGACGGUGCGGUACCUGUGGACCGUGUGCUGCCACUGCAACCCCAAGAAAAAGGAUGUUCAACGGGUCAGUAGCGUGGAGAAGAAGGACAGUACGGUGGUCAGUGAGGUGGGCUGGAUGACCUCUGUGAAGGACUGGGCCGGGGUCAUGAUCUCUGCACAGACACUCACCGGACGCGUGCUGGUGGUGUUGGUGUUCGUCCUCAGUAUUGCGGCGCUUGUCAUUUACUUCAUCGACUCCUCCAAUCCGAUCGAGUCGUGUCAACACUUUGAUAAAGAUUUCACACUGCAGAUAGACAUGGGCUUCAACAUCUUCUUCCUGCUCUACUUCGGCCUGCGUUUCAUCGCAGCGAAUGAUAAGCUGUGGUUCUGGUUGGAGGUGAAUUCAGUGGUGGAUUUCUUCACCGUACCGCCGGUGUUUGUGUCUGUGUAUCUGAACAGGAGCUGGCUGGGUCUGAGGUUUCUGAGGGCGUUACGGUUGAUUCAGUUCUCUGAAAUAUUACAGUUUCUAAACAUCCUAAAGACCAGCAACUCUAUAAAGUUGGUGAACCUGUGCUCCAUCUUUAUUAGCACAUGGCUAACGGCUGCAGGCUUCAUCCACCUGGUGGAGAACUCGGGUGAUCCAUGGGAGAACUUCCAGAACUUCCAGCAGCUGUCCUACUGGGAGUGUGUGUACUUGCUGAUGGUGACGAUGUCCACUGUGGGUUAUGGAGACGUGUGCGCUAAAACCACGCUGGGACGUCUCUUCAUGGUCUUCUUCAUCCUUGGUGGACUGGCCAUGUUUGCCAGCUACGUCCCUGAAAUCAUAGAGUUAAUAGGAAACCGUAAGAAAUAUGGCGGUUCCUAUAGUGCAGUGAAUGGGAGAAAGCACAUCGUGGUGUGCGGUCACAUCACUCUGGAAAGUGUCUCCAACUUCCUCAAAGACUUCCUUCACAAGGACAGGGACGAUGUCAAUGUAGAAAUCGUUUUUCUCCAUAAUAUUUCCCCUAAUCUUGAGUUGGAAGCCUUGUUCAAGCGUCACUUCACUCAGGUAGAGUUCUACCAGGGCUCCGUCCUAAAUCCACACGACCUGGCCCGAGUCAAGAUCGAAUCAGCAGACGCAUGUUUGAUUUUAGCCAACAAAUACUGCGCAGAUCCCGACGCCGAGGACGCGUCCAACAUCAUGAGAGUGAUCUCGAUUAAAAACUACCACCCGAAGAUCCGCAUCAUCACCCAGAUGCUGCAGUACCACAACAAGGCUCACUUGUUGAACAUCCCGAGCUGGAACUGGAAGGAAGGUGAUGAUGCCAUCUGUCUGGCGGAGCUGAAGCUGGGAUUCAUCGCUCAGAGCUGCCUAGCGCAGGGACUGUCCACCAUGCUGGCUAAUCUCUUCUCCAUGAGGUCUUUCAUCAAGAUUGAAGAGGACACAUGGCAGAAGUAUUACCUGGAGGGAGUGGCUAAUGAAAUGUACACUGAGUACCUGUCCAGUGCCUUCGUGGGGUUAUCCUUCCCCAUGGUGUGUGAGAUUUGUUACGUGAAGCUGAAGCUCCUCCUGAUAGCCAUCGAGUAUAAAACUGAUCAGAGAGAGAGCAGUACUCUUAUUAACCCAGGCAAUCAUGUGAAGAUGCAGGAAGGAACACUGGGGUUCUUUAUCGCCAGCGAUGCCAAAGAAGUAAAGAGAGCUCUUUAUUACUGCAAAGCUUGUCAUGAUGACAUCACUGACCCGAAAAGGAUAAAGAAGUGCGGCUGCAAACGACCCAAGAUGACAGGCAGCCACCGAAUGCGACUAGCGUGUUGUUUAGGUUGCGGCGAGGCCGAGCAUGGCUGCUCGUGCACGUCUCGCAGCACGCGUAGUAACAUGGAGACUCCGCCCUGUGCCCUGCCUCUGUCUCCCGCCUCUGUUAGUGAUAAGUUGGCCACUUUACGCUCCUCUAAAAGUAACUAUAACGGAUAUAUCAAAUCAACGAUGGACGCUCCAGCGGUGCAGCAGUCCGCUCUGUCACCCAAGAAAAAACAACGUAACGGAGGAAUGAGAACUUCACCCAACUGCUCUCCAAAAACUAUACGACUCUUAUCAAUGUCCAGACACGACCCUGUACUGAUCCCCAGCCAUGAUCAGAUGGAGACGAUGGACGAUAACGUGAAGAGGUACGACUCCACCGGAAUGUUCCACUGGUGUCCAUCCAGAGACAUAGAGAAGGUCAUACUGACCCGUAGCGAGGCAGCCAUGACGGUUCUAAGCGGUCAUGUAGUCGUGUGUAUUUUCGGUGAUGUGAAGUCCGCUGUGGUGGGCCUGAGGAACCUGGUGAUGCCUCUGAGAGCGAGUAACUUCCACUACCAUGAGCUGAAACACAUCGUGUUCGUGGGAUCUCUGGAGUACCUGAAGAGGGAGUGGGAGACCUUACACAACUUCCCCAAAGUCUCCAUUUUACCCGGCACUCCUCUGAGCAGGGCGGAUCUGAGAGCCGUCAACAUUAACCUGUGUGACAUGUGUGUGAUCCUGUCAGCCAAUCAGAACAACAUCGAUGAUGCGUCUCUGCAGGACAAAGAGUGUAUCCUCGCCUCGCUCAACAUCAAGUCCAUGCAGUUUGAUGACAGUAUAGGGCUUCUACAGGCCAACUCACAGGGCUUCACUCCUCCUGGGAUGGACCGCUCAUCUCCUGAAAACAGUCCUGUUCAUGGUCUGGAGAGACAAACUUCCAUCAGCACUGGAGCUAACAUUCCCAUCAUCACUGAGCUCGCUAAAUCAGACAGGCUGCUGAACGCAGUAUGUGUGAGACAGGACAAGAGCUGCGGAACCAACAUUCCAAUGAUCACUGAACUGGUAAAUGACUCCAAUGUUCAGUUCCUGGAUCAGGAUGAUGAUGAUGAUCCAGACACUGAGCUCUACCUCACACAGCCCUUCGCCUGUGGAACCGCCUUCGCUGUCAGUGUGCUCGACUCCCUGAUGAGUGCUACAUACUUUAAUGACAACAUCCUGACAUUAAUAAGGACGUUAGUGACGGGUGGAGCCACUCCUGAGCUGGAGGGGUUGUUAGCGGAGGAGAACGCACUGCGCGGGGGCUACAGCGACACACACACACUCGCCAACAGGGACCGGUGUCGAGUGGCGCAGCUCGCCCUGUACGACGGGCCGUUCGCCCAGCUGGGGGAAGGUGGGUGUUACGGUGAUUUAUUCUGUAAAGCGUUAAAGACCUACAACAUGCUGUGUUUCGGGAUUUACCGAUUAAGAGACGCUCACCUGAGUAUACCGAGUCAGUGCACCAAACGCUAUGUGAUCACCAAUCCUCCGUACGAGUUUGAGUUGGUCCCCACAGACCUGAUCUUCUGUCUGAUGCAGUUUGAUCACAACGCGGCUCAGUGUCGCUCCACGCUCUCACACUCCUCACACUCCUCACACUCCUCCAGUAAGAAAAGCUCCUCAGUGCACUCCAUCAGCGCCAAACACACCAAGAGCCGAGAGCCACGAGACAAACCCAAGUACGUUCCCCUUUAACACACACACACACUGUGUCUCUUUCCCUCUCUCUCUCUGUCUCUCUCUCUCUCUCUCUCUCUCUCUCUCUCUCUGUGUAGUGUUGUUUCCAUCCAUCUGUUUGCAUCUAAAUGUAGAAAUAUCAGAGAUUAUGCCUCAGUAUCAGUCUCUCAGUAAGUCUGGGGCUUCAUGUGGAAGUGUGAUGAUGAAACUCUGUCUGGAGUAAACAACAGUUCAGUAUUUAGAGCUGCACACCACUGUACUAAACACCGGCGUUUUCAUGCCAUAUUGAAAUAUCUCUCUAAACAAGUCGCUCAGUUAUAGAAUAAACAGUCCAUAAUAACUAGACUACCUUUAAAUCUGCACUUCACUGCCCCCUGCUGGUCAUGUCCAGCUGUCUUUAAAUCCCCGUGUUGCUUCUAAAUGUGUCUGGAGAUGAACCGAAAAUCAUUCACAUGUAUUAAAAAGAUUAAAGUGUUUUAUCUUAAACUUUCUCAAACUUCUUGCUACACAGAAGAAAAAAUAUUAUCAGGACACUAAACAGAUCUUUUUUUGUGAGCAUGUGUUUACUUUAAAACUCUUUUACAUAAAUUCAGAAGAAUAGUGUUGGGGAUUUUCUACUCACAAGAAAAUCCUGUGAACAUUGUUGCUAGGCAACCGGGACAUGUGGACAUCAAACAUGGUUUGAUGCUAAACGCUAAAGCUAACCAUGUAGCUAAGUGUGAUGUGCACACACGCCAUCUCCAUGGAAAUGAAACGGAAUCAUCCGGUAUCUCGACAUUUACCUCAGACGUGAUGUUAAAGCUCUAACCAAAAGCUUCUAUGUCGCUGAAACCACGCUAGUUACACUUAGCAUCAAAUUAAGUGCCAAACAAGCCUCAGUACUGAGACACUGAGAAAUCCAGCUACAGGAGGUGGCUUGUUGUCAUAGUAACAGGGAAAGUCUUGCUGUGGCUACGUUUCUCAGCGGACUAAACACUGAAGUUAGCGACGUAGCUAGCUGUGAAGAAGCUGUUCAAACCUGUGUGCAGACACAAUAAGCGUGGAACUGACACUGAGUCCAAAACGUCGACAUUUACAUCAGAUGUGUUGUUAAACUGCUAACAACUUCAAACAUUUAAUGCUAAGUUCUCCCGUAUGUCUACACUUAACCUAGUUACGCUUAGCAUCAAUGGCUAAAGAUGCCUCUGUACACGUGGUCAUGGUAACAGGGAAAGCUGUGUCAUGGCGUGUGGUAAAUCCUGCAAUAUUUAGUGCAGUCGUGUGUGGUUUUGGAUGUGAAAACGUGUGGCGCUUUUUGAUGACAUCAUCUCUCUUCUCUAAACGGAUACUGAAUAUAACAGCAGCUGAUGGAAACAAAACACCAUGAAAAGAAUUUCUGACAUCUGAAUGAAAUUGGUGCCUGUGUGUGUGUGUGUGUGUGUGUGUGUGUGUGUUCAGUCUGGACGUGCUGUUUGCUUCAGAACUUCACAUCAGUCACACACACACACACACACACACACACACACACACACACACACACACACACACACCCACCCACCUCUGUGUUUCUUUGUUUUGUGUUAGAGCCAUAGUUUAUGUUAAAAGGGAUGUGUUUGUGUUACAAUGAUUUGGGUUGCUAUGGAAACAGAGAUCAUUUUGCACUGAAACUGCACUUUAAGCCUCUCAUAGCAGCGUGUUGGAGAACAUCUCCUCAUUCCACCUGGCCUUUCUCCAUCUUCUGCCAUGUGCCCAGCUUCAUGUCUCUCCACAUGAGCAUUCUGUUACACUCCCACGUCUUUAACACCUCCAUAAACAUAAACAACAACAACAACACAACAGUAUGGUAAUGUUGAUUAUUUUCCUCUGUCAUCACAUCCGCACGUUUUAUUCCUUUUAUACUACUGCAUUUUUUAUUUAUUAAAGAACGAGAUGUUAAACUUUUUUUGUUUAUAUUUAAAGCUGUAGAAGCUCAGUGAAGUUCCAGUUCUCCCGUGUAAACACUCGUCCCCUCAGCUGUACACACUCGUCCCCUCAGCUGUACACACUCGUCCCCUCAGCUGUACACACUCGUCCCCUCAGCUGUACACACUCGUCCCUUCAGCUGUACACACUCGUCCCCUCAGCUGUACACACUCGUCCCUUCAGCUGUACACACUCGUCCCUUCAGCUGUACACACUCGUCCCCUCAGCUGUACACACUCGUCCCCUCAGCUGUACACACUCGUCCCUUCAGCUGUACACACUCGUCCCCUCAGCUGUACACACUCGUCCCCUCAGCUGUACACACUCGUCCCCUCAGCUGUACACACUCGUCCCUUCAGCUGUACACACUCGUCCCCUCAGCUGUACACACUCGUCCCCUCAGCUGUACACACUCGUCCCCUCAGCUGUACACACUCGUCCCUUCAGCUGUACACACUCGUCCCCUCAGCUGUACACACUCGUCCCCUCAGCUGUACACACUCGUCCCUUCAGCUGUACACACUCGUCCCCUCAGCUGUACACACUCGUCCCCUCAGCUGUACACACUCGUCCCUUCAGCUGUACACACUCGUCCCUUCAGCAGUCUCUCUCUGUUCUCUCCUCAAGUUAAUAAGAGAAAAAAGUCACAGCUAGUCAUGUUACCAUAGCAACUCCUGUGUCCUGAAGAUGUGGAGAACUUCACCUCAGACUGAUACACAGAACACGUUUUAUACAAUUUUAAUGUGGAGCUUCUGUCUGUUAGAAAAUUAAUCUCCAUCUUCCGACCAAUCAGAGGCCUUUACUGUGUCCACUCAUCCUCCUCAUCCUCAUCCCCCUCACAUCACCCCCUACUGCUUAGGAGACACCGCAAACUUUUAAGGCAACAGUGUGUGGAAUUCUAACCAAAACUCUAAUCACAACUCUAAUCACAACUCAGAAACUCUAACCAGGAACUCUAACCAAAACUGUAACCAGAACUUUGGAACUCUUAUCAGUACUGUAACCAGAACUCUAAUCAGAACUCAGGAACUCUAACCAGAACUCUGACCGAAAUCCUAAUCAGAAAUCUAAUAGGAACUCUAACCAGGAAUUUUGACAAGAACUCUAAAUAGGAACUCUAAAAAGGAGCUCUUAUCAGGAACUGUAUUCAGGAACUCUGAGCAGGAGGAGUGAAUGUGAAACAUGUUCCUCAGCUCAGGGUGUGAUCUGGGUUCUGCUCCUCCUCAACUCCUCAUGAACACAGUGAGAUGGUUAUCUAGCUGGGUUCCAGAGUGUGCCAAGUAACUCAUGUCUGAUCUCUCAGAUUAGACCUCUGCUCCAUCUCACACUUCACUAUUCUAUCAGAAUAUUCAUCAGUGUCCCUCUGUUCCCAUCACUAACGUCAUAAACACUGCAGUCACAUGACCAAAAUCUGACCUCUGAUUGGUCUGACACGUGUGGAGCCCAAUGCAGAGUAAACUUUUAAGAACCCUUAAAUGUUUUCUAUCAGACAGGGAACUAAGCAGAACCCAAAGCUGUCCAGAGAGCCAUUCUAGAACUGUGUGUUAAAGAAGGCUGUACUGUAUAUACUGUACUCUCAUAAAUAUUCGGAACCCUUAAAGGUUCUCUGUUCCUCUGAGGGAAUCUUCACAGCUACUGCAUUAAACAUUACAGUGAAGUGUUUCAUAGCAGAAAAUCUAGAACCCUUUCUAAAACUAAGAAUCCUUAAAAAACCUUGAAACCUUAAAACCUUGAAAUUCCUAAAACCUUUCUAAAGUCUUUUGGUCUUCAAAGGCUUUCUUGGACAAUGAAAGGUUCUUAACCUCCUAAAAGGAACCUUCUGUGAUAAACACUCAGUUCAUUGAGGUAUUCUUCUUCCUUUCAGAAACAGGUUCUGUUAGAGGGUUCUGUAAUAACUGAAGGUCCAGUUUGUAAUGAAGUGUUCUUAACUUCUAAAAACUCCUUCUGUCCUCUUGUAGGGUUCUGUGUAGAAGCUUUUAGGACAUAGUCCUUCCAGCUGUUAGGAAGAGCUCGCUCUAGAACACUGGAAGUGAAGGAAGAGGUUCUAAGUUCUUUGUAAAAAUGGGUUCUACUCGAAACAGUUCCUGGUUAGGAAAAGCCUUAACUGCUCUUUUAUACAGUAGAACCCUAUGGAGAACCAGUAAGGGUUCUAGUUUUUUUUAUUGAAGAUUCAUUCACAUUCCUGAUGUUGCCUGAUAAAGUGAGCAGCGUGUCACAAGCCUCAUGAACAGAACUUUAUUAUUUAAUCACACACACAGGCACAGUGUCUGUGCGUGAGAACCGAGACGGAACUCCAUUCCUGCACCAUCAGCAGCUUCCUGCCCUCAGGUGGAACCUCCCUCAUGCUAGAACCCACUUUAUUCUGUUUAAAGAGUGACUGAUGUUAAGGUUCUGAUAAUAAACACACACACACACACGUCAUUAAACUGGGUUGUUUAUGUUUUAACAGUUGCUGAGCGAUUGUGGACAGUGUCUAUGUGCACCAUGGAUGAGUUGAGGGUCACAGGACCAGUCCCAGUGUGCGCUCAUUCCACCAAUCAGACGCGAGAGGAGGGGAAGUGAGAGGACCAAUCAUGGCGCAGGCUCCUGCAGUUCCAGACCGAAGCUGAGCUGCUCACGCAGUCACAACCUCGCAAUAAUCAUAAUCAUCAUCAUCAUCACCUGACCGCUGUACAUCAUCAUCACAACACAAACACUGACCAGCUCUCAGGUGUUUACUGACCAUAUGUGCAGACACUGAAAAAACCUGCCGUAAUCAUAGAAGGGGGUGUGGCCUAUUACAUACUUUCUGUUUUCUUGACCAUUGUGAAGUGUGUAACCUGUGUUAUUGUAAAAAAAAAGGGGGGGGGGAGGGCGUGGCUAAUUAAAUAAUUGCAGGGUUGUCUUGACUAUGUUUUCAGACUGAGUGAAGAGUGAUAUAAUCAGAAAAAGGGGCGUGGUCAAUACCUUUUAGGGAUUUUCUUGACAAUCAUGAAGAGCAGUAUGAUUGUAAAAAAAAGGGGGCGUGGCCAAUAAACUCUCUAGCUUGUUUUGAGUGUUCAGACAGUAACCUGAUAAUGUGUGGUGUGGGUGUAUAAAGGGGCGUGGCUUAGCGCUGCAACGAGUUCUUCUGCUCUUCUCACACCUCAGGGUUGGACGUGCUGGACGUCUGAGGUGUAGAGUGAUGUAACUGCAAAGGGGGCGUGGUCAGGAGAGAUUCCAUAUGGAAAAAGGCAUGCUGUAAAUAUCCCUGAAAUGAAACAGAAUUUUUACGUGUGAUUUUUCAGAGAAAACAUCAGGUCUGAUUAUCAGCCAUGUGUUUAAAAUGUCACUUCCUGUCACAUGGCUCUGACCACACCCAUUUCUGGAUAAAAGAAUAAAUGAGUGUAAACACCAAACAUGAGUGCGAUCCACUCCAGCGUGAUUUAAUCCUGACGAUCACCAUGCGGCUAAUCGCUAACGCUAACCUUCAUCAUCCGGUCUGUGUGUUAAAGAUGAACGCGUGAAGCGGCAGACUGACCGUUAGCAUCGAGCGCUUCAGGGCUUCCCUAGCAUAAAAAAUUCACACAGAAUUUCAGAAUUUCCUUUUUUUAAAGCAUUAGCAUGAGUAUUAACUUUCCGAAACUCGCCGAUCUGCAAAUGUGUUUAACACGUGAUGCCUUAAAUCCAAUAAACACACAGAGGAAAACAGAUUCUUAGCGAACAUGCUAAACAUCGAUGUUGCCUUAGUGCUGUGAUUUAGUCCUUAAACUCCUUUAUACAUUUAUCUUUAACCUCAUUAGCAUUUUACAUUUACUACCAAAAACAGGCUGCUAGCUAGUGCGCUAAGAUUUAGCUAGAUGGAAACGUACAUGGUGUUACUCUUGUUAGCUAAUGCCACAAUACUAGUGCAGUGAACUUGUUUGUUUUUGAAGUUUUUAAAUUGCGUUCUUUUCCGUUGCCUGUGUUUCAGUAGACACUUGUAUGUGUAUUAGCUCUAGUUUAAGCUAACUGUAUGUUAGCAAUGUGCUAAUGGUUUAUUCAGUAAAAAGACAGAAACUAUUCAAGUUUACAUUUAACUGUAAAGACUGAACUUCCGGCUGCGAGCUAGCUAGCUGAUGUUAGCUAGAAGGAUAAAUGGCUACACUUGCUAGCUAACAGCAAAAUACCAUGAAUGUUUUUGUUUUGUUUUUCUUUAAGCAGAUUUAAUUCUGAAUAAUAAAAUAUUUCCUCCUGUGAGUCAGGUGAAAUUAUAAACAGGGAGAAUUCAAUUCCAGCUAGCUAGCUAGCUAACGUUAUCUUGAGGUAAACAGUGAUAGCUCACAGCGUGUAACACAUUUCAUUAACACUUUUCUAAUGAAUCUGUUUAGAAUUAAAGAUACAGCAGUGAAUUAGCCGCUGCUGUUUUUUAGCUGGUAGUCGCAGUAAAUCUAAAAUAUUAGCAGGAUGAAAACAUGGCUAAUGUUGCUAGCUAACAGUAACUGCAUCCUAUCAACACUUUUACUUCAAAUAUUUAGCACUGUGAUGAGAAAUCUCUGGAAGUUUGAAUCGUAUUCUGGAAUAAAUCAACUCUAUUCAGCUCAACCUGCUUUAGCUAACUAGAAUGAACUGGACAAUGGGAUGCUAUGUUGCUAACUAACACCCAUUGCUAAUCUAAGCAUAUAAUAAAAUAAGAUAAUAAUAAUAAUAAUAAUAAACGUGUUGCCACGUGUUGCAAAGUGGGUGUAAGGACGUCCUGUUUGGUCUCUUCAGUUUGGCGUGAAGACGUUAACGAGCUCGAGAUCACGCGUCGCUAGUUUGUGCUAUAAACUGUAUCAGUAACUCACUAAAGUUCCGUUUUUGUUUCAUGAGCUUCUUAAACUCCAACGCUUAUAAAUAAGUGGGUGGGGCUAGCUAACACCAACUUCACACAUGCUAACUGGUGCUACAGCAAACAGAAUGAUCUCUGAGGAAACCAUCAGUCAUCUGACCAUGUGUAUCUUUAUUUCCUUCCUCAUGGCCACACCCACUUCAGGUUAGUUUUGGAGCAUUUAAGAUGUUCUCUUCCAUUAAGAGGGUUCUUCACCAGGUGUCUCCUCCUUCACGUCCCUCCAGUAUGAAGACUUUUGUUAAGCACGUUGAGGAACCUUCAUCUUUAAGAGAUUGUCCUGCACUCUGCUGGUUCUCAGGUUCCGCUCCCUCAGACCUGGUUCUAGAGCUCAGAGACUGGGUUCUUGCCAGACCGAACAGACCAAACAGACGGUUAAGCUCACUAGAGCGAGAAGUGGCAGCCACGAAGAUGAUGAUCUAGCCUUGUUUACUUCUAAUGCUAAUUAUCUACUAAAAUGACUAGCAUGCUAAUUCAGAUGAUUUAAUUAGAUGCUAAAUGAUGAGAUUUUGUUACUAGCGUAUUUUCAUGCAGAUCUUAGAGAAUAUCUUCUAAAUAUUAAAAAUUAGUGAGGUUCCUCUAUAUGUUCCUCUCCCGGUUCUCCUGCUAGUCGCUUGCAGAUAAUGACGUCCUGAACAGAAGGUUAGCAUGAAUCAGCAGGAAGUGACUGACACAGACGUGUAAAGCUAGCGAGCUGGAGGUGGACUCGAGUUUUUAUUGUUUUCCUGUGAUCAUGUGUGUAUCAGUGAUGUUCAGGACGAUGUAAAAUCCAGUCAUGAACAUUUCCUCUGAUCAGAUCCCCCACAUUGUUCUGUUUUUAAUUUUUGUAAUCAGAAAUGUUUGUGUUGGUUUAUUUUCCAGCCUCUCAUGCCUCCUGUACAGACACAAUGGAAAUGUCAUGAACAUGAUUUUAUUUUGUAUUUUCAACAACAAUAAACUCGACUCUCAUUAAACAA
Molecule: RNA transcript, 12629 nt
Organism: Hemibagrus wyckioides
Lineage: Eukaryota; Metazoa; Chordata; Actinopteri; Siluriformes; Bagridae
Gene name: calcium-activated potassium channel subunit alpha-1-like
Exons: 32
Source: RefSeq, a predicted model, not a curated record